UACGAAGGGGGCUAGCGUUGUUAGGAUUAACUGGGCGUAAAGCGCGCGUAGGCGGGUUUUUAAGUCAGGGGUGAAAUCCCAAGGCUCAACCUUGGAACUGCCUUUGAUACUGGAAAUCUUGAGUCCGGGAGAGGUGAGUGGAACUGCGAGUGUAGAGGUGAAAUUCGUAGAUAUUCGCAAGAACACCAGUGGCGAAGGCGGCUCACUGGCCCGGUACUGACGCUGAGGUGCGGAAGCGUGGGGAGCAAACAGG
Molecule: ribosomal RNA, 253 nt
Filed under: uncultured bacterium
Lineage: Bacteria
Description: partial 16S ribosomal RNA
Rfam family: Bacterial small subunit ribosomal RNA
Source: RNAcentral